UACGAAGGGGGCUAGCGUUGUUCGGAAUUACUGGGCGUAAAGCGCACGUAGGCGGAAUGUUAAGUCAGGGGUGAAAUCCCGGGGCUCAACCCCGGAACUGCCUUUGAUACUGGCAUUCUCGAGUCCGGAAGAGGUGAGUGGAAUUCCGAGUGUAGAGGUGAAAUUCGUAGAUAUUCGGAGGAACACCAGUGGCGAAGGCGGCUCACUGGUCCGGUACUGACGCUGAGGUGCGAAAGCCAGGGGAGCAAACGGG
This 253-nucleotide ribosomal RNA is filed under the name uncultured bacterium. Its description in RNAcentral is "partial 16S ribosomal RNA". It matches the Rfam family "Bacterial small subunit ribosomal RNA", at positions 524 to 776 of the family's 1533-position model. The record is from RNAcentral.